UUUUUUAAGAGAAAAAGUGAAAAAUCAGAAGCAAAUAAGGCAAAUCAUUAAGGGUUAAAUGGGAGUGAGGGGUGCUCGUCCACAGUAUGAUUCUCUGAACUUUGCCAUAUACUUGAGAUAUUUUCUGAUACAAUUACGCUGGCCUGGAAGGUGGGAGGAGGUCUGAGGAACUGGGUCAGGAGCUGGCCAAGCUCGUCAUCCUCCAGAUGUGAUGGUGAAGGUGGGAGGGUGUGACUCACCGAGACAAGCCGGGAUGUUUUGGAUGUUUCUGAAACUCUGAAGUCCCCUAUCCCCUUGCCAGCUCCUGACAAGGGCGUGCAUGGGGUGAGCCCCUGAAAUAGCAGAGUGAACCAGGGUGCCCAAGGGGACACCCAUCAGCAUUCCUUUCUCAGGCUCCCCACAGGGAGCGCAUGCGGAAUGCUGGGAUUUUAAGCCAUUCCUGGAGCCCUUGUGGUUCCAGCUUCAACCCCAGCUCCACCCCCCACCCCAUGGCCAUGGAGUCGGCCUUUGGGUCCACAGGCCCACAGAGACGGUGAGUCCCCAAGCCCUGGGCCUGGCGGAAGAGAACCUCGGCUGUAGAAGUGGGCUGACUACAGCUUGUUGUGCUGUUGCUAAGUUCUGUGCUGAUCAGUCUGGCCUCAGGGGUUUUUUUUUUUCCUUUGGUUUCUUGUUCUGACGGGAACUGGGCGAAUCUGGAGCUGGUUCAUCACAGCCGCAGCAUUCCAGAGGGUGUGACUCCGCAAGCUCCUUUUUGGCCUCAGAUCCCGCGUCCACACCCUCCCCAGCUGCCGAGCGGAUGGAUGGACGGUCGGGAGAGCAGCUCAAACCAAGGUUCAUCAUGAAAGGAUCCCUGGCAGCUCUUGGGCCAAGAGUAGAAGCAGACGUAGGGCCUCAGGUAAGAGGCUCCUGCUGCAUCCGGGUGGGAGAUGGGUCAGGUCUGAGGGGCGAGCACUGGUGGCCAUCAGGAGAAGCAGUUGCGUGUUGGAGGGACAGCAUGUGAUACAGCCUGCAGGGUAUGAGAGAGAAAGGAGAGGCAGUCAAAAACAGCUCCGGGGCUCUGGGCUGGAGCCACUGCUGGGGGGAGGGCGAUAGGGAGGCCAAAGUGGGGAAGAUGCAAGCAGAGCACGUUCGUGGGGGCCAAAUCAACAGGUUAAUUUGGGUUCCAGACAGCGUGGAGCCUCGUGAGCCAUGGAAGCAAUAAACAGACCUCUCUGAGAUGGUUCUGAGGACAGCCGAGGAGCCACUGGGGGGGUUUAGGCAGAAUUCCAGAACAUUCCAGAUGUUAUCUCCUCUGGGGAGCUUCCUGGUGCAAGUGGCUUCUCUCUUGUUAAGUUGCUUCAUCUCGGAAUCUUGACUCAGUUUCUCCAAUAUUUUGUUUCACUCUAAAAGCUUUUGCUAUGUGCCGGGCACUGUGCUGACUCUAGUACCAGCACUGUUGCGUGAAUUAGGAGGUGUGGACCAUUGACCAUGGUACCAUUUCACAGAGGAGGAAAGAGGCACAGAGAGAGGUGGUCACUUUCCCAAGGCCACACAGCUGAGAGGCUGGGACUCAGACCCAGGCACCCAGGCUCCAGAGUCCGCGUGUCAAACCACUGCACUCCAUUAUCCAACUCUUUAUUCACCUCCACCACCAGCACACACACACACACACACACACACACACACACAGUGCCAUGUGGCUGUGCACAUAGAGACCUCCAGGAGAACCUGUAUCGAGGAUUAUGCUCCAGCUUGGUUUUAUCUGCAGGCCUGCGCUCUCUGUGUUUAUUAAUUCACUAGAUAAAUAUUUGUAUGUGAAGGCCACGGCCGGGGGCUGCUGGGAAGCUGAGACGGGGAGCCUGUGUUUCCUGCCUGUGCUGUGAUGGAGGGAGGAGGUGAGGAGGUGGGGACCCAAGCUGGGAAAUUUACCCUACAGAAUGCUCCGUGCCUGCAGAGAAGGGAGCCGCAGACAGAGCCCAGGACGGCCCGGGUUCGGGGCAGGAGAGCAUCGGGGGGCUUAACAGUGCCUGUCUUAGGGUCACCUCAACCCUGCGUGACCUUGGACACGUCACCCCACCUCUCCCAGCCUCAGUUUCCACCUCGCUGUAAAGGGGGCCGAGCAACCCACCUCCUAGAACCAUGUGAGGCCACCACCGCUCAACAAAGAGAACCCCAACUUCCACUUCCCAGGCUGGGAUAAUAUUGCGUGUACGUCACGCACUGUUCUCCGAGAAGUUCCUUUCUCAAAGAGGCUGGAGGGUAGCGAAAUGUUGGGUGGUGGGUCUUGGCUUUCCAGUGCCCCCCGCCCCACACAAGUCACUCUGGGGCCACGUGGAUUCUCGGCUGUCUCUUGAUACAGCAGAUUCCAGGGCCUUAUUUAGAAGGCCCUGCGGGGGGCAGUGGCACACUCCCCCAGACCCCCAGUAAUUCACCUGCUCUCCCCUCACCUCCACCCCCUCCCCAGGGUGAACAAGGGCUCAGGUUCUGGA
Long non-coding RNA from Orcinus orca (killer whale), 2468 nucleotides. RefSeq lists it as uncharacterized. The record is from RefSeq and is a predicted model, not a curated record. The transcript is spliced from 2 exons. NCBI's taxonomy places the organism in Eukaryota, Metazoa, Chordata, Mammalia, Artiodactyla, Delphinidae.